Pollicipes pollicipes is the source of this 253-nucleotide long non-coding RNA. RefSeq lists it as uncharacterized. The record is from RefSeq and is a predicted model, not a curated record. The transcript has 3 exons. Lineage: Eukaryota; Metazoa; Arthropoda; Thecostraca; Pollicipedomorpha; Pollicipedidae.
UGCAUGAUGAUCAAAACAAACACGGGAACAGCGUUGGAACGAGUGGUUCGGACGUGUGUAAAGUUUUGUCAAGUUCUUCAAACUCCAUACAGAAGAUGACUGAUAUGGAGGAAGGCGAUGGCGAGGUAUUCGACAUCACCGACUUCACGUCGGCCUCCGACUGGGAACGCUUCACUGGCGCGCUUGCCGAGCUGCUGCACGAGUGGAAGGCGCUGCGCCAGCCGCCGGCCGUCAGCCAGGCUCAGCUCCAGUU